AUUUCCCGCCUCUUCUUCCUUAUGACCUUUCCUUUUUGGGCUCCAUAAACCCUACAUUGUUGGGGAUUUCGACAAUCUGCCAAACUUUCUGCAGAAUUACUGCAAUUGAGUUUUAAUCUUUCCAAUGGAGCGCUAUACCAUAGAACGUUGAGAGCCUUAGGCCAAAUCUCAAAGAAAAUAGAAGGAAGUAGCCCCACCAUUUUGCGUUUCAUUAAGGGGUUAUUGAAGCAAAAGUGAUACAGCAUUCAUGGUCAAUAAUUAUCGAUGCUUGCUCAGUUGAUGGCACAUGACGGUGCUGCAGUAUCCCUUUUCGAGAUCAACUUCUCUGCUUUAGGAGUUAAUUGUUCUCAUAUUUUUCUUGGACGUCUGAACUACAAAAGGCUUUUGAAACAUCAUCAUAUUAGUAGGUUCCCCCAAUAAGUUCGACAGCCGAUGGAGGAUCGAUAAAAGUUAAUGCCUGGAACUAGAAUCCAGCAAACUGCCAAUUUGCUGCACCAUGUUUUUCAGAUAUUCUGCGAUCAAAAUGAUGGGUAUGGACCACAGCAGGCUUGUUAGGUCAUGGAGAAAUCAGGUUCCCAAUAGAUAACAGUUUCAGUUCCCAAGUUCUCUCUCUUGUCACAGGUUCCAAAUUCCAUGGAGUUUAGCAUCUCUGAUUUACUGUUGCUAUCUUGAGGUAUGUUGGUAUUCCCCUCAAAUUUCAAAAGGAGGUAGAUGAAACGCAAGUUGACCAUAAAAGUUUAAAGGGUGCAUGCAUUGGAAACUUGAAAAUUGCCAAGAGUAUUAAUUGGUCAUUGAAAAUAGUAAAGAAUAAAGCCUAUAAAAAAGGAUGUGUUAGUGUUGAGAAAUUCAUCCUCUUUGUGAGAAGGAAGACCCUCUUUGAACUCUUUUGAGUGAUUGGUGUUAUUAUCCUCUUUGAGUAAUAUAGCGUGAUGGUUGGCCUUGGAGCUUUUGAGUGAUCUAUGUUCUCAGGUUCCUUGACAUAUAUGAGAUGUGCGGGGGUUUUCAAGUUUGUCCAUGCAAAACUUGUAUCAUUUGUAUGGAGUAUACUAGUUUGUUAAAGUAGCGGAUGAGAGAUCGUGGAUGUAGGCAUGUUUGGGCGAACCGUUUAAAAAUACUUUGUGUUGUGUUGUGUUGGUGUUUGUGUUCCUUAUUGUGUGUGUUGCUUGUGUGCUUCAUUAAUCCCCAAUAGUGGUAUCAGAGUUAAGAUCAUCAGAGUUUAUGAGUAUGGUGGAGCAUACUGUAGGGAGGAGUUUGUCAAGCACAAUGGAAGGGGUCAUUUGCAAAGCCGUUAUCCAAAGUUGAACAAAUAUAUUGUUGAAUGAAGUGAUUGCAACAUUGAAAGUGGUAUCCCCAUGGAGAUGGCUGACAUUGAACGAAAGUUCUAAGACGUGCAAUACAUACGAGGCUUAGAGCAGCGAUGACUCACAUUGAGGAGCUUUCAAGAAAGUGUAGUGAUUGGAUAGCAGUGUAUCAGUGGGCAAGGGAUAGCGGACGGUGGCAGUGAGCUUUAAAGACCAGCUAUGGCAAUUGGUAAUGGAGGACAAUCGUGAGGGCAACUCACAAAUAUCGAUAGAGGAAUGACGACCGAUAGAGAUGUGAUGACGAGCAGUGAUGCGUGGUCAAUGUUAGCGACAGUCGAUGACAUUGAGGUGUUGGAGAUUUGUUUUGAGGGAGGAUAUGCUGGGAUUCUCCAUAAAUCUCAAAAUGAUAUAGAUGAAAACAUGUUGACUAUAGAAGCUUGAAA
Molecule: long non-coding RNA, 1744 nt
Organism: Asparagus officinalis (garden asparagus)
Lineage: Eukaryota; Viridiplantae; Streptophyta; Magnoliopsida; Asparagales; Asparagaceae
Exons: 4
Source: RefSeq, a predicted model, not a curated record